GCCAGUGUGGCAUAGUGGUUGGAGUGCUGGGCAAUGACUCUGGAGACCAGGGUUCGAAUCCCCACUUGGCCA
RNAcentral lists this transfer RNA (72 nucleotides) under Phrynosoma platyrhinos (Desert horned lizard). RNAcentral's name for it is "tRNA-OTHER". The record is from RNAcentral. Lineage: Eukaryota; Metazoa; Chordata; Lepidosauria; Squamata; Phrynosomatidae.